Molecule: long non-coding RNA, 475 nt
Organism: Acanthochromis polyacanthus (spiny chromis)
Lineage: Eukaryota; Metazoa; Chordata; Actinopteri; Pomacentridae
Exons: 3
Source: RefSeq, a predicted model, not a curated record
CAGCGGGGUGGUAUCCGGAGCCGCUGCAUAUAUAUACACAGGUGGGUGGUUUCACCUCAGUCUCAUGCUUUCUCUUGAGCUCUCCCCGUGGUGGUAACUGCAGCCAAGCGGGCUGGAUCUGGCGUGAUCAAUCGGGACGCACAUCAUAUCAUCGGUACAGUGACGCUGGGAGACGGGUCGCUCCGUUCAGCGUGCCGUGGGUGCUUCUGUGACGACAGGGUUUGGUGAGCCUCGGCGGCAGUUUAAUCCCUGGUGGUGGUUCACGGAUCCCUUUUCGUUGGUGUGUUGUCACAGGUGUGAUUAUUUGGACCCCCUUUUUCUUCCUUUUGGUUAUUUGUUUGCCUGCCGCCAUGGUAAGCCAGCCUGCUCCCUUUAUUGUUUAAGUUUAGUACUCCUGAUUCUCGCUUUUAAACUGGUGGCUUGCUUUUUAUAUUUAAUGCCAUAAUUAAUAAAGAAAUUGUUGUAUUUUUGGAAA